Molecule: long non-coding RNA, 1780 nt
Organism: Wyeomyia smithii (pitcher-plant mosquito)
Lineage: Eukaryota; Metazoa; Arthropoda; Insecta; Diptera; Culicidae
Exons: 4
Source: RefSeq, a predicted model, not a curated record
GUGAAGUUUUACCGAGUGUCUUUCUUCGCAUAUUUAUCUAGCGGAGACGCAUGAUGGAUUGUGGCGAAAAUGUUUACAGUCCGUUGGCGGGCACAUGAAUAAGUAAAUAAAACAACACAAGCGCGAUUUGUUGCCAAAAGCAAUCCCGGCCAAUUUAGGUUUCACUUCGCUCGCUCGGUGGACCGUUCGUCUUGGAACAUUAAAUUAAAUCAACGCAGCGUACAGAUUCUCAGCCCAGCCAGCUAGUCGCCGCAAUCUUCAUCAGCUCAACUCAGUCAGUCUGUUCAAGGAAAUCUCACAACGAUCAACCAUCGAGACGAGGAAUCACAAUCAGAGAUGAUUUAUUGCCUGACUGGUUUGGCCAGGCCAGAGGCUGGUGAACACAGUGAUUUGAAACCAUCAGAGGAAAAGAUUAUUCGUCGUCUUUUAUGCACUGUCAAAACCAGACGGUCACGAAGCCAGACCACAGAACAGCCAUGGGAGACAUCCACCCUCGCGAAGUGAGACGAUCAAAGCCAGUCAAAGUGAUCGUCUAAAGCGGGACGCUCUGUAGAAGUUCAAAUAGGCACAAGCGAGAUUUUAGUGAACGCUCUGUUUAUCAAACGAAAAUUUAAUUAAUAAUUGAAUCUCUUGGAAAACAGAUGUAAAAUGCCGCCACACGUUGCAGCUGCACUAGUAACGCUCUCUGUUGCAGAGAAGACGAUCCAGAGCGAAGCUAGUUCCUCAAUUCACUUGAACGGGUAGUACAACACGCAUUCGUAACAUCGGGAACGCACGUGUUCCCAUUGUGACCGGCUAGUGGAGCCGUGCUGCUGUUCUGGUUCAACGCAAUUAACCGUCACACGAAAGAUAAAAAAAACAGAUUCCAUCGUCGAGAGGAAAGGAGAAACAGAAACAGAUGUCGCUCAUUUGAUAUUCCACUUGUGCCACUUCCGGUGUUACAGCUUUGUCUUGUCGUCGAUUUGUAACUGAUCGACUAGUGGAAAAAAAUUUCACCCGCGAACGACCUUCUAGGAGCGCACUCACGAUGAGAGCACGCAAAUCCACCCACAAAUGUUCAACGCGCACGAUCAGCUCUGCGUUAAAGAUUCCUCGUAAGCGACCAGAAUUCACAACACCUUUCACUGGCACGAUCCCGAUCAAGACUGAAACCGAGGCCGUUGCCGCAUGUAAACGACACAUCGCGCAAGACGUAAGGAUGACAGACGACCACUACUAAAGUAUGUAAUGCAGAGCAGAGAGAAUGAACAGUUGAGGGGCGUAAGCAUGAUCGCUGAAGCUGAAUGGAGGCGCCAGAUAUCUAACCGAACUAACCAUACCUCGGGACUGAGUGCUGCCCUGCAUCCGUAAGUCAGUUCAACGAUGAUUGAAAAUGUUCCAUACUAGCUUCGGAUUAUGUACACAAUUCCACAAGCUGUUUGCGAACAGUGAUAUACCUAUGGCUAGGUACGUGCUGGCGGUCGAUCGGGGUAGGAUCAAAACAAACCGCAGCCGCAGCCGAAGACGGUGAUGUACAGGGAAUGGGGGAAACGGGGAAAUUAAUAUGCGAUGCUGCUGGUUUGGGUUUGGGAUUUUGGUGUGAGAUAUGUGCGCAAGGAGCUAAAUAAAUUAAAUUAGAAAUGUGGAACAGCUGAGGACAGAGUACGCUGAGGAGAGUUGAAUCGCGAGAGUAAUUCACCUACCGGAUGGCGGUUGGGUGAAUGUGAUGUAUUUAUUGAUGUCAUCUUUGCGAAACUGUUUGGUGAAAACCGUUGGUAUUAUGUAAAUUCAUGAACCGAAA